Molecule: ribosomal RNA, 1249 nt
Filed under: Brinjal little leaf phytoplasma
Lineage: Bacteria; Bacillati; Mycoplasmatota; Mollicutes; Acholeplasmatales; Acholeplasmataceae
Description: bacterial SSU rRNA
Rfam family: Bacterial small subunit ribosomal RNA
Source: RNAcentral
GAAGGUUACUAAGACUGGAUAGGAAACAAAAAGGCAUCUUUUUGUUUUUAAAAGACCUUCUUACGAAGGUAUGCUUAAAGAGGGGCUUGCGCCACAUUAGUUAGUUGGUAGAGUAAAAGCCUACCAAGACGAUGAUGUGUAGCUGGACUGAGAGGUUGAACAGCCACAUUGGGACUGAGACACGGCCCAAACUCCUACGGGAGGCAGCAGUAGGGAAUUUUCGGCAAUGGAGGAAACUCUGACCGAGCAACGCCGCGUGAACGAUGAAGUAUUUCGGUAUGUAAAGUUCUUUUAUUGAAGAAGAAAAAGUAGUGGAAAAACUAUAUUGACGUUAUUCAAUGAAUAAGCCCCGGCUAACUAUGUGCCAGCAGCCGCGGUAAGACAUAGGGGGCGAGCGUUAUCCGGAAUUAUUGGGCGUAAAGGGUGCGUAGGCUGUUAGAUAAGUCUAUAAUUUAAUUUCAGUGCUUAACGCUGUCUUGUUAUAGAAACUGUCUUGACUAGAGUGAGAUAGAGGCAAGCGGAAUUCCAUGUGUAGCGGUAAAAUGUGUAAAUAUAUGGAGGAACACCAGAAGCGUAGGCGGCUUGCUGGGUCUUUACUGACGCUGAGGCACGAAAGCGUGGGUAGCAAACAGGAUUAGAUACCCUGGUAGUCCACGCCGUAAACGAUGAGUACUAAGUGUCGGGGUAAAACUCGGUACUGAAGUUAACACAUUAAGUACUCCGCCUGAGUAGUACGUACGCAAGUAUGAAACUUAAAGGAAUUGACGGGACUCCGCACAAGCGGUGGAUCAUGUUGUUUAAUUCGAAGAUACACGAAAAAUCUUACCAGGUCUUGACAUACUCUGCAAAGCUAUAGAAAUAUAGUGGAGGUUAUCAGGGAUACAGGUGGUGCAUGGUUGUCGUCAGUUCGUGUCGUGAGAUGUUAGGUUAAGUCCUAAAACGAACGCAACCCUUGUCGUUAAUUGCCAGCACAUAAUGGUGGGGACUUUAACGAGACUGCCAAUUAAACAUUGGAGGAAGGUGAGGAUUACGUCAAAUCAUCAUGCCCCUUAUGAUCUGGGCUACAAACGUGAUACAAUGGCUGUGACAAAGAGUAGCUGAAACGCGAGUUUUUAGCCAAUCUCAAAAAAGCAGUCUCAGUUCGGAUUGAAGUCUGUAACUCGACUUCAUGAAGUUGGAAUCGCUAGUAAUCGCGAAUCAGCAUGUCGCGGUGAAUACGUUCUCGGGGUUUGUACACACCGCCCGUCAA